Molecule: unclassified non-coding RNA, 3022 nt
Filed under: Hevea brasiliensis (rubber tree)
Lineage: Eukaryota; Viridiplantae; Streptophyta; Magnoliopsida; Malpighiales; Euphorbiaceae
Source: RNAcentral
UCCAUUUCCAAAUCCUCGUAAACUAAACAUGUAUCCUGACAUUUCAGAAGCAAAUAAUAAUUAACCUGGAAGCUUGGAAGCAAAGAGAGAGAUCUUGUGUGCAACGAUGAUGCCCCAGAGAAAAAAAAAAUAAAGCUAGUCAUACACAUUAUAGAGCUAUCCCUAAAGGGUUAACUAUUUAAUGCGUACUAAGCGUUGUAUGGACAGGUAAAAAUCUAUAUGUAGCUACCAUCAUCAUGGCACAACCUAAGCACAUAUAAUUACCUCUAGUUGGUUUCAUUUAAUUAAUUGAAAGUCAACAUACCCUUGUUCAUUUGCAUAUGAUAUAUAUACAUGAUGGACACUUGCUCAAAUAGGAACCCAAUCCAUGAUGAACAUUGACGUUGACACUGAAACAACUCUUGGGAAUAUUUCCAGUAUCCGAGUGGAUCAAGGAAGCCAGUGUGAAUGUGUAACCAAGAUAUUUAAUGCUUCCAUCCCUUUGAGUAACCAUCUUCCAUAUAUGGCUCAAGAAAUCCAAUGAACUUAGCUCCAUCCUUAGACCACCGCGCUCCAUAACCAUCAGCCACCCUUACCUCAAAGACAGCCCCAUGUGGAGGAACAAUAUGCACAUUCGACCAGCAACAAGAAGCAAUUAAGAAAUUUAUGACAUUCAUUGCAAGGCUAUUUUUAGUAGAAUCACUUCCACUAAUAAUACCCCAAUAUUUAUUGCUACUCCUUUCAGUGUGCUUUGCCAAAGCCCUUGCUCCAUGUGUCAAGGCACUACCAUUGACCUCAAGCCAUGAAAUCAGAAAAUUCAAAUUUAUAGAACACAUAAUUUUUAAAACACCAAGCUUGUGAAAAUUCUAAGAAUAUACAUCUAAACUUGCUGCAACAUGUAUACAAAUUUGAAGGACUAUUGCUUUUCUUGUGAUUUAACAUAAUGUAUGAAAUGAAUAUAUACACCAAAAAUAGUAUAAAAUAUCCAGUUCUGCACUGCCACCAUUCUGCAGGUCCUAAUGAGAAUGUAGCCCAUUGCCAACAAAUUGUUCUGUUUAUAGAAUACAAUAGUCUUAUGUAUAUCUAGAGAUAAAUUAGAAGAAAGAUAAACAUCUUAAUGUAUUUGUAGCAAACAAAGCAGAGCAUCACUUUUCUGCCAUCCCUAAAGUAAACCACUCCUCUGUGAUCAACAUAUGAGCUCUCCUUUAACAUUUUUAUUGAAGCAAAUGCUUGUAUGUAACAAGUUAAAGUGAUCAAUUUUUAAAAAUGAAACAUUUUUCAAAUGCUAGGACCAUAAAGAAAUUAAAAAAAGAAUGAAGCAAAAAUCUCUCCUCAACACAGCAAAAAAACCAAAAAUAAUUCAUUGCCAAUUGUAAUCUUACAUUUGGUCUAUAUGGUAGAGUGAAGGAUGAGAGAAGAGUUGAUCUUGGUGGAGGAAGGGCAUCAGAAACUGCUCCAACAGUAUGUGCAAGGCCCAGAAGACUUUGGAUACCACCAUAACUCAAUCCCUGGAAAACAUCAAAGCAGCACAGAUUGUUUAGCAAAUAUUGCCUUUUUAAGAGAAUUUAUGUAGUAGUUGGGAUUACCAUAGAAUGCUACAUGAUCAAAAUGACCAUUGUAUUCCUUGUAUUAUUACACAAGUGUUAUGGUUCUGCAGCAUAUCAUUCAGCAUUAAGCACAAUCCAAGCAUUACAAUUUUCUGACACGCGUACCUUCUUAUAUUAGCACUGACUCAAUUUAAUAGCAUGGCAUAUUUGCAUCUAAACAAUCAAAGAGUCCUAUUCAUAAAGAUUAACUUAAUUUCAUGAAAAUAAGCAACUCACUAACAGUAUGCUAGCCAGAUGUAGGUAUGGCUGAGGAGAAGAUUUUGAUACACAGAUUGCAAGGACACCAUUGGACAUUUCCUUUUCUUCUGUAUAAAACUUCCUAUAGAUUUUUACACCUUCUUGAACAGUUUUAACCCCAGGAAGGACUUGUGAAAGAUCCUCUGUCUCCAACAUCUCUGAAAAUGAAGCAUAUCGGCGAACAUCCUUAACCUCAAGCACUGCAGUUCUGUUUAAAAGAACCAAAGCUCCUGGCUCAAUUCUACUGUAAUUAGAACCAGCACAUCUUCCUUCAAUUGUUUUCCGGCCAUCUGCAUACAAUCCAAAUACUCGGGGAUAAGAUAACCAAUCUAUUAGUAAACAAAAUAUUAAAGUAAAAUUUUAGUUACUUGACCAUCGAUAAAAAGCUAGAAAGACCUAUUAGAAAACAAGUAAUACCUUUUAGGAGUGAGAAGAAGGGCUCCUGAACAUGAAGUUCAAAAAAUGUAGACUUGAACAUCUGAUAAAUGCAGUAGUUUAUAUAUGGUAGUAACAGACUGAAUCACUAAUAACACAUUAAAAAAAUAGAAAAGGAAAUAAAUCACUCCAUAAAUUUUGCCCUUUUCUCCACUUACAUUUUUUAGAUCAGAUCCCUUUUCCAUAAUUAACUUAUUCCAUUCAUCUUCUUUCUGCUUCAAGGAAAUAUCUUCAUUGAUGAAUUCUAUCUCACCAUAUGUCUUACAAAAUGACCCAGAAAUUAUACAUUGGUAUAAAGCUGAAGCUAGGCGCGUGAAUAAGGGAUAUUGGGGAACUCCUUCAAAACAACCUGUAGCAUUUGAGUAUGAAGCAGUGAAUCUUCCUUGAAAUAAAGAAACAUACAUUUUACUUGCAAUAUGGCAGAACACUCCUUCAGAAAUGCAUAUGCUUUGUAGAGUCUCUUUCUAUCUCUCCCCCCAGUGAUCCUGGCAAACUGCACCUCGCCUUUGCACCAUCCACUUAAGCAGCCCAUAGGCCAUGCGUUUGUCUGCAAUACCAAUGUCAGGCAGUGAAACAGAGUCGUUUGGGUCGUCUCUAAGGAGAUUGGAGCAGAAGUCCUUAGAAAGGCCCAAAUCGCAUUCUAGGGUUUCGUUAAUGUGAGAAUUAAGCGUGAACUUCACCAGCUCUUCUAUGCACUCUCUCAGUUGCUCCAUUUUCUCCGUCUCUCCCCCCCUUCUUUUGUUUCCGUCAACUGUAGUUUCAAG